UACGGGUUUUGAAAUGACAGUUGCU
Molecule: non-coding RNA, 25 nt
Filed under: Rattus norvegicus (Norway rat)
Lineage: Eukaryota; Metazoa; Chordata; Mammalia; Rodentia; Muridae
Source: RNAcentral